AGUGAACGCUGGCGGCAGGCCUAACACAUGCAAGUCGAACGGCAGCACAGUAAGAGCUUGCUCUUACGGGUGGCGAGUGGCGGACGGGUGAGGAAUACAUCGGAAUCUACUUUUUCGUGGGGGAUAACGUAGGGAAACUUACGCUAAUACCGCAUACGACCUACGGGUGAAAGCAGGGGAUCUUCGGUCCUUGCGCGAUUGAAUGAGCCGAUGUCGGAUUAGCUAGUUGGCGGGGUAAAGGCCCACCAAGGCGACGAUCCGUAGCUGGUGUGAGAGGAUGAUCAGCCGCACUGGAACUGGGACACGGACCAGGCUCCUACGAGAGGCAGCAGUGGGGAAUAUUGGACAAUGGGCGCAAGCCUGAUCCAGCCAUACCGCGUGGGUGAAGGAGGCCUUCGGGUUGUGAAGCCCUUUUGUUGGGAGAGAAAAUCAGCAGGUUAAUACGCCGCUGUUCUGACGGUACCCAAAGAAAAAGCACCGGCUAACUACGUG
This 492-nucleotide ribosomal RNA is filed under the name uncultured bacterium. Its description in RNAcentral is "partial 16S ribosomal RNA". It matches the Rfam family "Bacterial small subunit ribosomal RNA", at positions 29 to 507 of the family's 1533-position model. The record is from RNAcentral.